Molecule: non-coding RNA, 195 nt
Organism: Brassica rapa (field mustard)
Lineage: Eukaryota; Viridiplantae; Streptophyta; Magnoliopsida; Brassicales; Brassicaceae
Source: Rfam
AUACCUUUCUCGGCCUUUUGGCUAAGAUCAAGUGUAGUAUCUGUUCUUAUCAGUUUAAUAUCUGAUAUGUGGGUCAUCGGCCCACACGAUAUUAACUUUAUUUUUAAAGGGAGAAGGUCUGAUAAGUUAGCUUGCUAACUGGGCUUUCAUGAGUCGCUUAUGUGUUGCACUACAACAUGGGCUGGCUCAACCCAU